GGGCCUGUAGUGUAGCCUGGAUAUCACCGGGGCCUCCGGAGCCUCUGACGGGGGUUCGAAUCCCCCCGGGCCCG
RNAcentral lists this transfer RNA (74 nucleotides) under Methanobacteriota archaeon. Its description in RNAcentral is "Euryarchaeota archaeon (soil metagenome) tRNA-Arg". It matches the Rfam family "tRNA". Rfam says of the family: Transfer RNA (tRNA) molecules are approximately 80 nucleotides in length. Their secondary structure includes four short double-helical elements and three loops (D, anti-codon, and T loops). Further hydrogen bonds mediate the characteristic L-shaped molecular structure. tRNAs have two regions of fundamental functional importance: the anti-codon, which is responsible for specific mRNA codon recognition, and the 3' end, to which the tRNAs corresponding amino acid is attached (by aminoacyl-tRNA synthetases). tRNAs cope with the degeneracy of the genetic code in two manners: having more than one tRNA (with a specific anti-codon) for a particular amino acid; and 'wobble' base-pairing, i.e. permitting non-standard base-pairing at the 3rd anti-codon position. The record is from RNAcentral. Lineage: Archaea; Methanobacteriati; Methanobacteriota.